UACGUCGCCAUCUUGGAUCCGCGGGACAAGAAAAUUCAUGCGAGGGAGACGUGGUGGGCGGUCCUUCCUGUGACACGACCCUUGAGUGACAGUUCUAUUUGAUUGCCUCCGGUACUGUGAGGAAAGGACACGACUCUAUGGUGAGGACUGAUGGACAUACAUUAUCUGAGAAAAGAAACUACCAGCCUCCAGCUCUGAGCUUUCCAAUCCCCAGAGUAGCAAAUGUUGAAAGAAGUUGCACAGGUGACAAACAGCAUGUUUGGUGCUUCAAGAAAGAAGUUUGUAGAGGGGGUCGACAGUGACUACCAUGACGAAAACAUGUACUACAGCCAGUCUUCUAUGUUUCCACAUCGGUCAGAAAAAGAUAUGCUGGCAUCACCAUCUACAUCAGGUCAGCUGUCUCAGUUUGGGGCAAGUUUAUACGGGCAACAAAGUGCACUAGGCCUUCCAAUGAGGGGGAUGAGCAACAAUACCCCUCAGUUAAAUCGCAGCUUAUCACAAGGCACUCAGUUACCGAGCCACGUCACGCCAACAACAGGGGUACCAACAAUGUCACUUCACACGCCUCCAUCUCCAAGCAGGGGUAUUUUGCCUAUGAAUCCUAGGAAUAUGAUGAACCACUCCCAGGUUGGUCAGGGCAUUGGAAUUCCUAGCAGGACAAAUAGCAUGAGCAGUUCAGGGUUAGGUAGCCCCAACAGAAGCUCGCCAAGCAUAAUAUGUAUGCCAAAGCAGCAGCCUUCUCGACAGCCUUUUACUGUGAACAGUAUGUCUGGAUUUGGAAUGAACAGGAAUCAGGCAUUUGGAAUGAAUAACUCCUUAUCAAGUAACAUUUUUUAAUGGAACAGGUAAGCUUAUUCUGGAGCUAGUACCCUACAAAAAGUAUGAUAGAUUUAUGAAAUAUAAAGCAAUUCAACAUACUGGUCUUUAAAUAUGGUAGGAUUUUUUAUUAUGUUAGAUGGUAGAUUUUAAUUCAGUGAAAAAUAGGAAUAGGAUUCAAUACAGUGAAUAGUUG
Molecule: long non-coding RNA, 1012 nt
Filed under: Pan troglodytes (chimpanzee)
Lineage: Eukaryota; Metazoa; Chordata; Mammalia; Primates; Hominidae
Description: long non-coding RNA NONPTRT003559
Source: RNAcentral